AUGUCUUCCUCCAGUGCCGUCCAAUCGAACCUAAGUGGUCAGGUCACGGAGAAGCUCUCCCGGAUGAAUUACGUCCUGUGGCGAACCCAGAUCACGCUGCAGCUAAGGGGAGUCGGGCUCUUCGGCUACGUCGAUGGCACCAUGCCAGAACCGACGCGCCUCCUCAUCUCCAAGGACAAGGAUGGGAAGGAAACUUCUGAGCCCAACCCUCUCCACCCCAUCUAGGUCAGGGAGGACCAGCAGGUGCUGGGCUACCUGCUCAGCAACCUCUCCAAAGAGGUGCUGAUCACGGUGACCGCGGUCACCACUGCCCAUGCUCUCUGGACGAUGCUGGCAGGUAUGUUCUCCUCGCAAUCCUUGAGCCACGUCAACAACAUCUGCACUACCUUGAUCAAUGCACAGAAGGGCACCCAGUCCGUGGUCACGUACUUUGCCUCCAUGCGGGGCCUUGCCGACGAGCUCGCCGCGGUCGGGAAGCCCAUCCAAGACGACGAGCUGAUCUCCUGCUUGCUGCACGGGCUAGACAUGGACGACCAGCCCCUCGUCUCCGCACUCGACGCCCGUGUCACGCCGGUCUCCCUCGAUGAGCUGUACGCCAUGCUGAGCAAUUUUGAUCAGCGUGUC
Molecule: ribosomal RNA, 624 nt
Filed under: Triticum aestivum (bread wheat)
Lineage: Eukaryota; Viridiplantae; Streptophyta; Magnoliopsida; Poales; Poaceae
Description: partial small subunit ribosomal RNA
Source: RNAcentral